Molecule: ribosomal RNA, 254 nt
Filed under: uncultured bacterium
Lineage: Bacteria
Description: partial 16S ribosomal RNA
Rfam family: Bacterial small subunit ribosomal RNA
Source: RNAcentral
CACGUAGGGUGCGAGCGUUGUCCGGAAUUAUUGGGCGUAAAGAGCUCGUAGGCGGCGUUUCGCGUCCGCCGUGAAAACCUGCAGCUUAACUGUGGGCUUGCGGUCGAUACGGGCAUCACUGGAGUUCGGCAGGGGAGACGGGAAUUCCUGGUGUAGCGGUGAAAUGCGUAGAUAUCGGGAGGAACACCGGUGGCGAAGGCGGCCUUCUGGACGGAUACUGACGCUGAGACGCGAAAGCGUGGGGAGCAAAUAGG